GAUGAACGCUGGCGGCGUGCCUAAUACAUGCAAGUCGAGCGAACAGAUAAGGAGCUUGCUCCUUUGACGUUAGCGGCGGACGGGUGAGUAACACGUGGGUAACCUACCUAUAAGACUGGGAUAACUUCGGGAAACCGGAGCUAAUACCGGAUAAUAUUUCGAACCGCAUGGUUCGAUAGUGAAAGAUGGUUUUGCUAUCACUUAUGGAUGGACCCGCGCCGUAUUAGCUAGUUGGUAAGGUAACGGCUUACCAAGGCGACGAUACGUAGCCGACCUGAGAGGGUGAUCGGCCACACUGGAACUGAGACACGGUCCAGACUCCUACGGGAGGCAGCAGUAGGGAAUCUUCCGCAAUGGGCGAAAGCCUGACGGAGCAACGCCGCGUGAGUGAUGAAGGUCUUCGGAUCGUAAAACUCUGUUAUUAGGGAAGAACAUACGUGUAAGUAACUGUGCACGUCUUGACGGUACCUAAUCAGAAAGCCACGGCUAACUACGUG
RNAcentral lists this ribosomal RNA (497 nucleotides) under uncultured bacterium. RNAcentral describes it as "partial 16S ribosomal RNA". It matches the Rfam family "Bacterial small subunit ribosomal RNA", at positions 28 to 507 of the family's 1533-position model. The record is from RNAcentral.